This 183-nucleotide ribosomal RNA is filed under the name Listeria monocytogenes. RNAcentral describes it as "partial 23S ribosomal RNA". It matches the Rfam family "Bacterial large subunit ribosomal RNA", at positions 1 to 175 of the family's 2925-position model. Lineage: Bacteria; Bacillati; Bacillota; Bacilli; Caryophanales; Listeriaceae. The record is from RNAcentral.
AGUAAAUUGGUUAAGUUAGAAAGGGCGCACGGUGGAUGCCUUGGCACUAGGAGCCGAAGAAGGACGGGACUAACACCGAUAUGCUUUGGGGAGCUGUACGUAAGCGUUGAUCCAGAGAUUUCCGAAUGGGGGAACCCACUAUCUUUAGUCGGAUAGUAUCCUUACGUGAAUACAUAGCGUAAG